CAGCAGCCGCGGUAAAACGAAGGGUGCAAGCGUUACUCGGAAUUACUGGGCGUAAAGCGUGCGUAGGUGGUGGUUUAAGUCCGUUGUGAAAGCCCUGGGCUCAACCUGGGAAUUGCAGUGGAUACUGGGUCACUAGAGUGUGGUAGAGGAUGGUGGAAUUCCCGGUGUAGCGGUGAAAUGCGUAGAGAUCGGGAGGAACAUCAGUGGCGAAGGCGGCCAUCUGGGACAACACUGACGCUGAGGCACGAAAGCGUGGGGAGCAAACAGGAUUAGAUACCCCCGUAGUCCCUGUCUCUUAUAC
RNAcentral lists this ribosomal RNA (301 nucleotides) under uncultured bacterium. Its description in RNAcentral is "partial 16S ribosomal RNA". It matches the Rfam family "Bacterial small subunit ribosomal RNA", at positions 509 to 807 of the family's 1533-position model. The record is from RNAcentral.